GACGAACGCUGGCGGCGUGCUUAACACAUGCAAGUCGAACGGAAAGGCCCUGCUUUUGUGGGGUGCUCGAGUGGCGAACGGGUGAGUAACACGUGAGUAACCUGCCCUUGACUUUGGGAUAACUUCAGGAAACUGGGGCUAAUACCGGAUAGGAGCUCCUGCUGCAUGGUGGGGGUUGGAAAGUUUCGGCGGUUGGGGAUGGACUCGCGGCUUAUCAGCUUGUUGGUGGGGUAGUGGCUUACCAAGGCUUUGACGGGUAGCCGGCCUGCGAGGGUGACCGGCCACAUGGGGACUGAGAGACGGCCCAGACUCCUACGGGAGGCAGCAGUGGGGAAUAUUGCACAAUGGGCGGAAGCCUGAUGCAGCAACGCCGCGUGCGGGAUGACAGCCUUCGGGUUGUAAACCGCUUUCGCCUGUGACGAAGCGUGAGUGACGGUAAUGGGUAAAGAAGCACCGGCUAACUACGUG
This 468-nucleotide ribosomal RNA is filed under the name uncultured bacterium. RNAcentral's name for it is "partial 16S ribosomal RNA". It matches the Rfam family "Bacterial small subunit ribosomal RNA", at positions 28 to 507 of the family's 1533-position model. The record is from RNAcentral.